RNAcentral lists this long non-coding RNA (762 nucleotides) under Ananas comosus (pineapple). RNAcentral describes it as "long non-coding RNA (ACOM_LNC035768)". The record is from RNAcentral. Lineage: Eukaryota; Viridiplantae; Streptophyta; Magnoliopsida; Poales; Bromeliaceae.
CCCACUGGGAACUAUAAAUUAUAGUUCUCACGCCCUGUGUUUUAUGUUUUCUUUCAGAGCCUUCCACGCCGGGAGAGGCUAGGGACCGUGGGAAGGGAGUUGCUUUGAGCUAGCUUCCUUCGAGGGCGAUUCGAUAGGUGGUCUACCUCUCGUUAUUUUAUUUUGUGAGAGGUUGAGAGUUUUACCAGUGUAUUAGAGACCACCAUUUUUGUACUUUUGAGACUGAUAGUGUACUACUUAUGGUUUCUUUUAUCGUCUAGCUUUAUCUCUUUACUUUGGUGUAGAUGAUAGAACUUUACUCGCUCUGAUAUCAUUAGUUGCUAGUUAUUUUACUUCUUUAUUUGUUCUAUCUCUUGCUUUACUUCCGCUUUUAUUGUAGACGCCUUAUAUGUGUAGACAUAUGGCGGGUCUGGGCACGCUACCGGGAGGGCCUCCGCCGGUCCCGGGGCGUGACACAUAUUUUGAGCAUAUGUGCAUUUUUGAGCAUCUUGCAUAAUAGGGUUAAUUGUGAGCUUCUUAUAGCCUAAUGUAAAUUCAAAUGCAUGUUAAAUAUUUGUAAGAAUGUGAGAAUGAUGAUCCCUAUGUAUGCAUGAUUGUGACAAGAACCUAGAAGGGUUAGUAAACAAAAAGUGACACUAUGACAUAGAUUUAGCAAGUGAUAUUGACGAGUCUAGAACACUUAGUAAACAAGUGUGGCAUUUGGCAUGAGGACAAGAAUAUAGCACUUAGAGAACAAGUGUGGCAUGAGUACAAGAACUUGAU